AUAGCUGCUACGUGGCACAAUUCCAGCGAACUUUUAUUAACGAGAAACGAUUUCACUUCUUUUAGUUUAACAUGAAGAAUGCAGCAGUUUACUUCGAUCUUACCUAGAUUGCUUUUAAUGUUCAUGAUCAAGACAUGGAAGGCAACGGCUUUUGGAUUGUACGGUUACGUGAAUUUCACCAGAAAUGGCUUCUUGGAAUGUGCCAAACACUUCAAACAAGAAGAUAUGGAAAAACGUAUAGAUGGGAAAAAUUGCAUGGUUACAGGAGCAAAUUCUAGAAUUGGUUAUGCAACUGCAAGGGUCUUGCUUCAUGGGAGGUGACUGUCUAUAUGGUAUGCCAUAACAGGGAGAGAGGAUGAGCUGCUCUUUCUUCAAUUCAGUCUAAGACUGGGAAUCCAGAUAUUCAUCUAGAGGUGUGUGAUCUUUCUUCUAUCAAUGACAUCAAGUCUUUCACAUUCAGAUCUUCUUCAAAGGAUAUGCCAGUUCAUGUUCUGGUUAAUAAUGCUGGCUUAUUGGAGCAAAAAUCUGGUGAUCACAGUUUCUUCUGGUGAAAUGUAUUCAGCUCCCAUGACUACAGAUCUACAGGCGCCUGUUUUUUGAACUUAGGGGUUGCAUCAAUCAAAUCACUGAUACUGAAUUUUGAAUAUUUGUUUUCAAGCAGUUUAACAAUGGCAAAAUUGAAAGGGUGGAACAAUAUGCUCGAAACAAGCGAGUUCAGGUGGCACUGACAAAAAUGUGGUCUGAAACGUACAAGGAGAAAGGCAUUGGUUUCUACUCGGUGCACCCCAGUUGGGCUUGAGAUACCCGGAGUGGCGAAGAGUUUGCCUAUCUUUAUCUAGAACUUUCAUUUAUUUUUAUCUAGAACUUUCAUUUAUUUUUAUCUAGAACUCUUUGUUAAGAUUGUUUAUACACUUCAGGUUUGCAGGCAAGCUUAAAACAAGUGAGGAAGUUGCAGACAUUGUUGUCUGGCUGGCUUUACAGCCAAGAGAGAAACUGGUACCUGCUGCAUUUUAUUUUGACUGAGCUGAAGCACCUAAACACCUGACGUUUAAUUAUAACCAUCUUCAUCUUCUACACCAGAGUUUCCAGAGUCAUUUGAGUUCUUUUGUCAGACUUGAAUAAUGUAGAAUGUUAACGUGUGCCAUGUAACAGAUUACAAUUUCAUUGCUGCAAAUUUUGCAUAAACAGAUAUAUGAGCAGGCUUGAUGC
Mangifera indica (mango) is the source of this 1209-nucleotide long non-coding RNA. RefSeq lists it as uncharacterized. The record is from RefSeq and is a predicted model, not a curated record. NCBI's taxonomy places the organism in Eukaryota, Viridiplantae, Streptophyta, Magnoliopsida, Sapindales, Anacardiaceae. The transcript is spliced from 7 exons.